AACGAACGCUGGCGGCAUGCCUAACACAUGCAAGUCGAACGAGACCUUCGGGUCUAGUGGCGCCCGGGUUCGUAACGCGUGGGAACCUUCCCUUAGGUUCGGAAUAACUCCCCGAAAGGGGUGCUAAUACCGGAUAAUGUCUUCGGACCAAAGAUUUAUGGCCUUUGGAUGGGCCCGCGUUGGAUUAGCUAGUUGGUAGGGUAAAAGCCUACCAAGGCGAGGAUCCAUAGCUGGUCUGAGAGGAUGAUCAGCCACACUGGGAAUGAGACACGGCCCAGACUCCUACGGGAGGGCGGAAGUGGGAAGAGUGGAAAAGGGGGGGAAGCCUGAAACAGCAAUGGUGGGUAAGUGAUGAAGGGCUUAGGGUUGUAAAGCUUUUUUACCCGGGAUGAUAAUGACAGUACCGGGAGAAUAAGCGCCGGCUAACUCCGUG
Molecule: ribosomal RNA, 433 nt
Filed under: uncultured bacterium
Lineage: Bacteria
Description: partial 16S ribosomal RNA
Rfam family: Bacterial small subunit ribosomal RNA
Source: RNAcentral